AUUAGCAAAAUCUUAGUUCAAAGCUUAUACUGAAGAUAUUUCUGGGUCCUUUUGUUUUAUGUUAGAGCAAAAUGCUUUUAUUUGCAAAAGUGUAAAUUCUGUUUUGUGCGUAAAUUGUUUACUGUUUGGCGUGUGAACAGGCUACUGGUAUUGCAUAUAAUAAUUAGAUGGUAUACGCUUAGUUCAUCAAACAAUUAUGUAUAGAUCCACCAGAGGAAGGAGGCUGAUGCCAGCAAUUAGUAGUUUUAUUAAGUGGCUUGUGGCCAAUCACUAAUGCGUGUCUUGAUCAUCCAUUGACCGAGAAUGGCAUAUUGUCUACAUUACGCCUUUUACAAUCCUACAGUCUACUGUCAUUGGUAAACAUAACUAUUUUUAAAAUUCUGAAUCAAUAAACUGCAAUUCUAAUGAUUAUGUUUUGAUGUUCUCAUUCCAGUCCAGUCAAACCUGGUCUACCUUUGACUAGUGGCACUAGUAGGUAUAAGUCCUUCAGUCUAUGAACAAUGACCAUAAGCACGGGUGGGCCCAUGUUAAAGGGAGGGGACAGUUGCACCCAAAUAAUGAGAUUUCCCAAGCUCUAAUCAAAUCCACAAUAACAUGAUUAUAAAUAUUAAAUAUCCAUACUGUUUAUACUCCCAAAUAAGCAUUGUGGUUCGCCGCUGACCAUAAGUUUUAUUAGUUGGUUAUCAAAUAACCAUGGGAUUAUGGGACCACCAUUGAUUGAACCAGUAAUGCCUCCAGAGUUUGGUUUGUUGUAACAUCUUAAAAUAGUGCUUGCAGCAACAUCAUGUAACAUCUCGUGUUCCUUUGCAAUUAUUUCUCAGGUGGGAAAGAGUAGCUCAUUUUGCACUUCACUGCUGGAAUGAAAACCAGAAAAGGCCAUGUUAUGAUGACGUGAACUCUUUGUCUCAAAAACUUGAUCUUGUGUCUGUGAAUCUGUUACAUCUUGCCAUUGGGAUCAUUAGUAAUUCUGAUCCUAGCUUUUGAAAAGCAUGCUUGACUGCUGCCGUUUCCUUGCCACCAGGUGUUUAUGAUAGGCUUGUUCAGACUCAGAGAAACACUUUCUUCUACUUAAUUGAUAAAAUUCAUACUGAAUCUAGUUUCUUGGAAGUGCUGAGUAACAUAGAGGUUGCAAUUCAGAAAAAUGAAGAUCCAUUUCAGCAAAUCCGAUGGCUUUGGGUUUUGGAAAAAGAGACCAGCAGUGGAUACAACACAAAUGAAUCUUUCAUGUUUGAAGAUGUGUUCUCUUUGUGUGCUCGACACAAGGACAGAUUGGAAGCUGCAUUUUUGAAUGUGAAGUCCAGGUUUUGUAGUGAGGUGGUAUUUGAGGAUGUUGUAACUAGUCACAGGAUGCUGCUUCAGAAGUAUAGAAAAACUAGAAGGCAAUAUAUAAAUGGAAUGGUUUCACUUCAUGAUAAA
Long non-coding RNA from Lotus japonicus, 1416 nucleotides. RefSeq lists it as uncharacterized. The transcript has 2 exons. Lineage: Eukaryota; Viridiplantae; Streptophyta; Magnoliopsida; Fabales; Fabaceae. The record is from RefSeq and is a predicted model, not a curated record.